UAACUUGUUUCUCUUAUUUGAUGAGGUGAUUGAAUGGGUGGGUUAACUCAAUGUAGUUCAUAUAGUGAUUGAUAAUGCAACAAAUUAUGUGGUCACGGGGAGAUUGAUUUCUUAGAAACAUAAACACAUCAAUUGGUCAUCUUGUGCAACUCAUUGUCUUAAUUUGAUCUUUAAGGAUAUUGGUAAGAUGGACCAUAUUGCUUAACUUGUAAGACGUGCAUCAAAGGUGAUAAUUUUUGUGUAUAAUCAUGUUGCUUUGUUAAGUUGGUUGAGAAAAAGAAAUGGAUGGACAAAAAUUCUCCGACCUGGUGUAACUUGCUUUGCUACUUCAUUCAUUGCACUCAAGAGUCUUCAUGAUCAUAAACAUGAUUUGCAGGCUUUGGUGACUAGUAAGUUCUUUGUGACUCUAGAUAUUCAAAGGAUAAUAAAAGCAAAGUUGUAGUUUCCAUCAUAUUGGAUAAUAGAUUUUGGAAUGAUUGUUUGAUUGUUAUGAAUCUUAUGUCUCCACUAAUGCGCUUAUUGCGUAUUGUUGAUUGUGAUGAGAGACCUUUGAUGGGAUAUGUGUAUGAAGGCAUGUAUAGGGUUCGUUUAGGCAUCAAGAAAUUGUUUAACUACAAGAAAAAACUAUACAAGCUUUAUAUAAAAAUCAUAAAGCAACGUUGGGAUCAACAACUAAAGAAAAACAUUCAUUCAGUAGCUUAUUAGUUGGAUCCAUGUUUCCAAUAUGAUCAAGAAAACUUUUGUAAUAAGCUAACUGUUAUUGUAGGUGUCAUGGAUGUUAUUGAUCAGAAAGUUUUGAAAGGCAAGCUUGAUACAAUGAAUGAAAUAAAGUUGUUUUGUGAUCGAAUGUGAAGUUUUGGAAAAGACCUUGCUUAUUCUUCAUGUGAAAUACUUCAACCUGAUGAAUGGUGGAGGCUACAUGGAUACAGUGUACCACAUUUGUAAAAGUUGACCAUUCAAAUAUUGAGCCAAACUGCAUCGUCUUCUGGAUGUGAAAGGAAUUGAAGUGUCUUUGAACGUAUACAUACCAAAAGAAGGAAUAGAUUGGAACAUCAAAGGCUUAAUGAUUUUGUAUACGUUCAUUAUAAUUUGCGACUAAAAAAUCGGUAUAAAUGCUUUCUUGGUGUUUUGAAUUUAAA
This is a long non-coding RNA of Vitis vinifera (wine grape), 1139 nucleotides long. RefSeq lists it as uncharacterized. NCBI's taxonomy places the organism in Eukaryota, Viridiplantae, Streptophyta, Magnoliopsida, Vitales, Vitaceae. The record is from RefSeq and is a predicted model, not a curated record. The transcript is spliced from 2 exons.